GUCCGCAAGCCAUCUGCAAUGUCCGAUCGCAUGUUAGAUCGGAUCUCAGCCAUCCGAUCAUGUCCGAUCCAUAGAAACCCGUAUGGACCGCCUGCCCUGCCAUGGAUCGUGACUCAAAGUCACAUGGUCCAUGAUUUUACACUGUGGUGGGUGUGCAUGUGUGGGCCAGGGCCACGCAUUGCAUGCGCCCGCAAUCGAUCGGUGCACCCCUACAUGCUGGGUCGUGCACCCGAGCGUGGCUGGCCUGCAAGCUCGUGUGCUGCCGCAUGCACCCAUUGCGGCCUCUGUUAGCCCACCGUCGGCCUUCGUUGCUCCGCCAUCUGUGCUAGCUUCUCUUAUGUGUAACUUCUCUGUCUGAACUCCAUUUAGACUGUUCUUAAGCUUGUUGUACUCUAUUCGUCAUCUUGGAUCUCGUUCUGGAUUUUUUACAGAUCAAAUCUUGAGAUAUAUUUUCUAACAACCUCCAUCUUGACUCGAUAUUCGAUCUCCUUCUGACUUUGAGAACUUUUGGAUCUCCUCGUCUUCACAUCCU
This 532-nucleotide long non-coding RNA is filed under the name Elaeis guineensis (African oil palm). RNAcentral describes it as "long non-coding RNA (EGUI_LNC031116)". Lineage: Eukaryota; Viridiplantae; Streptophyta; Magnoliopsida; Arecales; Arecaceae. The record is from RNAcentral.